ACGGGAAAAGGGAAAGGGACUUAGUGGCGGACGGGUGAGUAACGCGUGGGUAACCUGGCCCAUACAGGGGGAUAACACUUAGAAAUAGGUGCUAAUACCGCAUAACAACAGAAAGCGCAUGCUUUUUGUUUGAAAACCAAGGUGGUAUGGGAUGGACCCGCGUCUGAUUAGCUGGUUGGCGGGGUAAAGGCCCACCAAGGCGACGAUCAGUAGCCGGCCUGAGAGGGUGGACGGCCACAUUGGGACUGAGACACGGCCCAAACUCCUACGGGAGGCAGCAG
RNAcentral lists this ribosomal RNA (281 nucleotides) under uncultured bacterium. RNAcentral describes it as "partial 16S ribosomal RNA". It matches the Rfam family "Bacterial small subunit ribosomal RNA", at positions 66 to 354 of the family's 1533-position model. The record is from RNAcentral.